RNAcentral lists this ribosomal RNA (253 nucleotides) under uncultured bacterium. Its description in RNAcentral is "partial 16S ribosomal RNA". It matches the Rfam family "Bacterial small subunit ribosomal RNA", at positions 524 to 776 of the family's 1533-position model. The record is from RNAcentral.
UACGAAGGGGGCUAGCGUUGCUCGGAAUUACUGGGCGUAAAGGGCGCGUAGGCGGAUAGUUUAGUCAGAGGUGAAAGCCCAGGGCUCAACCUUGGAACUGCCUUUGAUACUGGCUAUCUUGAGUAUGGGAGAGGUGAGUGGAACUCCGAGUGUAGAGGUGAAAUUCGUAGAUAUUCGCAAGAACACCAGUGGCGAAGGCGGCUCACUGGCCCGGUACUGACGCUGAGGUGCGAAAGCGUGGGGAGCAAACAGG